RNAcentral lists this ribosomal RNA (497 nucleotides) under uncultured bacterium. Its description in RNAcentral is "partial 16S ribosomal RNA". It matches the Rfam family "Bacterial small subunit ribosomal RNA", at positions 28 to 507 of the family's 1533-position model. The record is from RNAcentral.
GAUGAGCGCUGGCGGCGUGCCUAAUACAUGCAAGUCGAGCGAACGGACGAGAAGCUUGCUUUUCUGAUGUUAGCGGCGGACGGGUGAGUAACACGUGGAUAACCUACCUAUAAGACUGGGAUAACUUCGGGAAACCGGAGCUAAUAUCGGAUAAUAUUUUGAACCGCAUGGUUCAAAAGUGAAAGACGGUCUUGCUGUCACUUAUAGAUGGAUCCGCGCUGCAUUAGCUAGUUGGUAAGGUAACGGCUUACCAAGGCAACGAUGCAUAGCCGACCUGAGAGGGUGAUCGGCCACACUGGAACUGAGACACGGUCCAGACUCCUACGGGAGGCAGCAGUAGGGAAUCUUCCGCAAUGGGCGAAAGCCUGACGGAGCAACGCCGCGUGAGUGAUGAAGGUCUUCGGAUCGUAAAACUCUGUUAUUAGGGAAGAACAUAUGUGUAAGUAACUGUGCACAUCUUGACGGUACCUAAUCAGAAAGCCACGGCUAACUACGUG